AUGAAAGAAAAGUUCGAUAAGUAUUGGCUUGAUGUGCAUGGUCUUAUGGCCAUGGCAACUAUUCUUGAUCCUAGGUAUAAAACUCACAUGCUGCAGGCUUUAUUUGGAUCUCUUUAUGGAUAUGAACAUGCAGCCAAUAAAGUUGAUGAGCUAAAAAAACUUAUGGUUGAAUUGUUGCUUGAAUACAAAGAAUCUGACGAGCCUGCUGCUUCUGUCCAAGUUGCUGCCCAAGUUGACAAAGAUCAGGAGGAUGAAGCGGGCAUAUUACUUGAUCAAUAUAUGAUGCAGCAGCCCAUUGUUUCUUCUCAGCUACGCACAGAAUUGGACUUGUACUUAGAGGAGCCUGCUCUCCCUAGAACACAAGAGGUUGACAUCAUUACUUGGUGGAAGGUUGGAGGUAUGAAGUAUCCCACCUUGCAAAGGAUUGCUCGUGAUAUAUUACCCAUUCCAGUCACAACCAUGGCAUCCGAAUAUGCAUUUAGUACCAGUGGCAGAAUACUUAGUGCACAUCGAAGUCUCCUUGCACCCAAAACCACAGAAGCUCUUAUGUGCAUGCAAGCAUGGAGUCGUGCUAAUAUGUUUGGUAAUAAUCCAUUCAUUUCAGUCAUGAAUAAUUAUGAAUUGUAUUUUGUUUUCUUUGACUAUCUUCUAACUAAAUGUCGAAUAACUUUGCUUUAG
RNAcentral lists this ribosomal RNA (678 nucleotides) under Triticum aestivum (bread wheat). Its description in RNAcentral is "partial small subunit ribosomal RNA". Lineage: Eukaryota; Viridiplantae; Streptophyta; Magnoliopsida; Poales; Poaceae. The record is from RNAcentral.